This 617-nucleotide ribosomal RNA is filed under the name uncultured bacterium. Its description in RNAcentral is "bacterial SSU rRNA". It matches the Rfam family "Bacterial small subunit ribosomal RNA", at positions 62 to 692 of the family's 1533-position model. The record is from RNAcentral.
UCGAACGAGAGAUGAGGAGCUUGCUCUUCAAAUCGAGUGGCGAACGGGUGAGUAACGCGUGAGGAACCUGCCUCAAAGAGGGGGACAACAGUUGGAAACGACUGCUAAUACCGCAUAAGCCCACGGCUCGGCAUCGAGCAGGGGGAAAAGGAGCAAUCCGCUUUGAGAUGGCCUCGCGUCCGAUUAGCUAGUUGGUGAGGUAAUGGCCCACCAAGGCGACGAUCGGUAGCCGGACUGAGAGGUUGAACGGCCACAUUGGGACUGAGACACGGCCCAGACUCCUACGGGAGGCAGCAGUGGGGAAUAUUGCACAAUGGGGGAAACCCUGAUGCAGCGACGCCGCGUGGAGGAAGAAGGUCUUCGGAUUGUAAACUCCUGUUGUUGAGGAAGAUAAUGACGGUACUCAACAAGGAAGUGACGGCUAACUACGUGCCAGCAGCCGCGGUAAAACGUAGGUCACAAGCGUUGUCCGGAAUUACUGGGUGUAAAGGGAGCGCAGGCGGGAGAACAAGUUGGAGGUGAAAUCCAUGGGCUCAACCCAUGAACUGCUUUCAAAACUGUUUUUCUUGAGUAGUGCAGAGGUAGGCGGAAUUCCCGGUGUAGCGGUGGAAUGCGUA